AUUUUUUUUUUUAAAUCUGUGGAUGUGAAGAAAAAAAUGACAAAAUCUGUUCUUAUCAGUUUAAUACCUGAUACAUCCUCCAUUCAAGGACUUUAUAUUAAAUGGACUUUUAGAGCCAGGAGCUGGAAGAGGGGCUUGCUCCGUCCACUCCACACAUCGUUCCUGGUAUUGCAUAUCUAAAUGUGCCCCUU
This is a small nuclear RNA of Ictalurus punctatus (channel catfish), 191 nucleotides long. Its record names the gene U2. It matches the Rfam family "U2 spliceosomal RNA". Rfam says of the family: U2 is a small nuclear RNA (snRNA) component of the spliceosome (involved in pre-mRNA splicing). Complementary binding between U2 snRNA (in an area lying towards the 5' end but 3' to hairpin I) and the branchpoint sequence (BPS) of the intron results the bulging out of an unpaired adenosine, on the BPS, which initiates a nucleophilic attack at the intronic 5' splice site, thus starting the first of two transesterification reactions that mediate splicing. The record is from Ensembl. Lineage: Eukaryota; Metazoa; Chordata; Actinopteri; Siluriformes; Ictaluridae.